RNAcentral lists this ribosomal RNA (464 nucleotides) under uncultured bacterium. RNAcentral describes it as "partial 16S ribosomal RNA". It matches the Rfam family "Bacterial small subunit ribosomal RNA", at positions 28 to 507 of the family's 1533-position model. The record is from RNAcentral.
GACGAACGCUGCGGCGUGCUUAACACAUGCAAGUCGAACGGAAAGGCCCCUUUGGGGGUACUCGAGUGGCGAACGGGUGAGUAACACGUGAGUAACCUGCCCUUGACUUCGGGAUAACUUCAGGAAACUGGGGCUAAUACCGGAUAGGAAUCCUUGCUGCAUGGUGGGGGUUGGAAAGCUUCGGCGGUUUUGGAUGGACUCGCGGCUUAUCAGCUUGUUGGUGGGGUAGUGGCUUACCAAGGCUUUGACGGGUAGCCGGCCUGAGAGGGCGACCGGCCACAUUGGGACUGAGAUACGGCCCAGACUCCUACGGGAGGCAGCAGUGGGGAAUAUUGCACAAUGGGCGGAAGCCUGAUGCAGCAACGCCGCGUGCGGGAUGACGGCCUUCGGGUUGUAAACCGCUUUCAGCAGGGGCGAAGCUUGUGGUGACGGUACCUGCAGAAGAAGCACCGGCUAACUACGUG